UGCCAGCCGCCGCGGUAAUACGGAGGGUGCAAGCGUUAAUCGGAAUUACUGGGCGUAAAGGGUGCGUAGGUGGUUUGGUAAGUUAUGUGUGAAAUCCCAGGGCUUAACCUUGGAGGGUCAGAUAAUACUGCCGAACUAGAGUAUGAGAGAGGGUAGUGGAAUUUCCGGUGUAGCGGUGAAAUGCGUAGAGAUCGGAAGGAACACCAGUGGCGAAGGCGGCUACCUGGACUGAUACUGACGCUGAGGUGCGAAAGCGUGGGGAGCAAACAGGAUUAGAUA
RNAcentral lists this ribosomal RNA (279 nucleotides) under uncultured bacterium. RNAcentral's name for it is "partial 16S ribosomal RNA". It matches the Rfam family "Bacterial small subunit ribosomal RNA", at positions 506 to 784 of the family's 1533-position model. The record is from RNAcentral.